This 492-nucleotide ribosomal RNA is filed under the name uncultured bacterium. Its description in RNAcentral is "partial 16S ribosomal RNA". It matches the Rfam family "Bacterial small subunit ribosomal RNA", at positions 29 to 507 of the family's 1533-position model. The record is from RNAcentral.
AGUGAACGCUGGCGGUAGGCCUAACACAUGCAAGUCGAACGGCAGCACAGUAAGAGCUUGCUCUUACGGGUGGCGAGUGGCGGACGGGUGAGGAAUACAUCGGAAUCUACUUUUUCGUGGGGGAUAACGUAGGGAAACUUACGCUAAUACCGCAUACGACCUACGGGUGAAAGCAGGGGAUCUUCGGACCUUGCGCGAUUGAAUGAGCCGAUGUCGGAUUAGCUAGUUGGCGGGGUAAAGGCCCACCAAGGCGACGAUCCGUAGCUGGUCUGAGAGGAUGAUCAGCCACACUGGAACUGAGACACGGUCCAGACUACUAAGGGAGGCAGCAGUGGGGAAUGUGAGACAAUGGGCGCAAGCAUGAUCCAGCCAGACCGCGUGGGUGAAGAAGGCCUUCGGGUUGUAAAGACCUUUUGUUGGGAAAGAAAAGCAGCAGGUUAAUACCCAGCUGUUCUGACGGUACCCAAAGAAUAAGCACCGGCUAACUUCGUG